CAGUUUUCUCUGCUUUCAAAAUCUUUCUGUUUGAACCCGUCGACCUGGAACCUAUCAAUUAUUGGUAAUAUUAAUAAUUUGUGAAACAAAAGGGCCUGGAAUGGAGUAUUUUUUACUUAACAGUAUACAGUUAAAUUCUAAAUACACUGUUUGGUGGUGCGCCUGUCAGAUGCGGAACGUACAGAUAAGGUAAUAGGUAACAGGUGAAUAUACUAUUGGUAUCGGUGUCGGACUCGAUCCGGAACUUCUUAAUUAUUGGCAAUAUUAAUUAAGUGGAAAACAAAUGG
RNAcentral lists this long non-coding RNA (287 nucleotides) under Mytilus galloprovincialis (Mediterranean mussel). The record is from RNAcentral. Lineage: Eukaryota; Metazoa; Mollusca; Bivalvia; Mytilida; Mytilidae.